RNAcentral lists this ribosomal RNA (409 nucleotides) under Acidobacteriota bacterium. RNAcentral's name for it is "Acidobacteria bacterium partial 16S ribosomal RNA". It matches the Rfam family "Bacterial small subunit ribosomal RNA", at positions 355 to 776 of the family's 1533-position model. Lineage: Bacteria; Pseudomonadati; Acidobacteriota. The record is from RNAcentral.
UGGGGAAUAUUGCGCAAUGGGCGAAAGCCUGACGCAGCGACGCCGCGUGGGGGAUGACGGCCUUCGGGUUGUAAACCUCUUUCAGCAGGGACGAAGCGGAAGUGACGGUACCUGCAGAAGAAGCACCGGCCAACUACGUGCCAGCAGCCGCGGUAAUACGUAGGGUGCAAGCGUUGUCCGGAAUUAUUGGGCGUAAAGAGCUCGUAGGCGGUCUGUCGCGUCGGCUGUGAAAUCCCGAGGCUCAACCUCGGGUCUGCAGUCGAUACGGGCAAACUGGAGUGUUGCAGGGGGGACUGGAAUUCCUGGUGUAGCGGUGAAAUGCGCAGAUAUCAGGAGGAACACCGGUGGCGAAGGCGGGUCUCUGGGCAACAACUGACGCUGAGGAGCGAAAGCGUGGGGAGCGAACAGG